Molecule: unclassified non-coding RNA, 185 nt
Filed under: soil metagenome
Description: partial internal transcribed spacer 1
Source: RNAcentral
CAGAGUUGCAAAACUCCCACAAACCAUCGCGAAUCUUACCCGUACGGUUGCCUCGGCGCUGGCGGUCCGGAAGGCCCUCGGCCCCGGAUCCUCGGGUCUCCCGCUCGCGGGAGGCUGCCCGCCGGAGUGCCGAAACUAAACUCUUGAUAUCUUAUGUCUCUCUGAGUACACUUUUAAAUAAGUCA